Vicia villosa (hairy vetch) is the source of this 1794-nucleotide long non-coding RNA. RefSeq lists it as uncharacterized. NCBI's taxonomy places the organism in Eukaryota, Viridiplantae, Streptophyta, Magnoliopsida, Fabales, Fabaceae. The record is from RefSeq and is a predicted model, not a curated record. The transcript has 5 exons.
UGACAUAGAGAAUAGAGAGAGAAAAACCUAAUCAUGUUCAUUCUGAAACUUUAUUCAUCUCUUCUCACUGUCGUGCGCUGAAUCUCCUUCUAUCCACCAUCGCGAUUCCUCUAUGUUGAAUACUCCUGCAUCUUCGUGUAUCAUCACCGUUAAGCUAAGCGCUUCUACAACGUCGUGAAUCCUCAUUGUUGCCGAUGUCACAUCCAUUUCGAGCAUCUCAUGAUUCUAGGUUUAGAAUUGCGGAAUCGCUAGAGCAUCGGUCACGUUUGGAGUUGAGAAAGUCAUCACCCAUACCACCACGACUAGUCUUCUUUGCAACAAUCUGAACACUCGGUAAAACUUGUAGGUGUUCCGGAAAUGAGCUAUACAUCUGAUGAUCAGCCGAACCCCUAUGGUGAAAUUUGUAUCAGGGGUCCCAUUAUUUGGAAAAGAGAGUGUUUUGGUAAAGUUUGUAAAGUUGGGGUUAUAACAGGACAUGAAGGGCAUGUGAAUUAUUUGCAAGCUUCAUCAUCCAAUAGACUUGGUGGUGGCUUUUUGUUGUAUAGUGCAGUACCGCCAAUCCCGCACUCGCUCAGGUAUAUGUAUCUAUAAAUCCAAUUUCGUUACUCUUGUACUUCAAUUUUGAUACUAGGUAAAAUUUGGAUAUCUAGCUACAAAUCAAAUUGAAUUGAGAUUCAAUCUACUAUGAAGCACAUGAUAAUUUAAAGUUAAUAGAGGUCUGAAUGUGGAUUAGCUUGUAAAAGCUUCUUAAUUGAAUACUUAUAGGUUUAACACUUAUUAAAUAAGUGCUUAUGUAUAAGCUAUUUCUAUAGUCAAAUAAAAUGUGGUCAAGCUGUUAUAUAAGCUAUAAGUUGUUUGAUAAAAUGUUUAUACCAGCUGGUUCAGGUUUUGCUUCUAUUGUUAUUGGAAGCUUUGCUAGGAACUUAGUUAUUGAUAAAAUGGUUUUUAUUGCUUUAAGAUGAUUGUGUUGUUGUUAUUGAUGAUCUCGUACAGUUAACUAUUACGCAGGCCUUCACUCAGUUCAGUAUUGCGUUCGACAUCAACGACGUCAUUCUCCUUGACAACACUCAUGUUGGUUGCCUCUGACAGCAUUAAGAUAUAGUAUUCAGUACACCUGUUGGUGGCCAUUCUUGCACUGGACGAAGAGUCAGUUGGGAAGGUAGGAGAAGACACAACUGGAAGUCCUGCAAAAUUUCUAGACAAUUACGGCUUUUUUGAAUAUUGACGUGAGAUCUUCUAAUUGGAAAAUCUAGAAAACAACUAACUACAAGGUCUACUUCAACAGUCUUUGAACAAAGAUAGUAUAGAGAUCAGGCUGCAGAGAGGCUUAUUUCAAGCAAAGGGGAACUCAAAACACAGCUUGAGAAUUUUCGCAGGGAUCCUAACAUAUCAAGUGAGGCCCUCAUUUAGUUGUUAUUUUAAUUCUAUACCCGUGUUUCAUGACAGAACUUGCGAAAAUAGCUUAUUUACUUAAUUGAAACUGUGAUUCAGCUUUAUCUUUUAUUAUAAAAAUAGCUUAUAUGUAAGCAGUUGUAUAAUAAACACUUAUAAUGAUGGGUUUGUGUGUGUUUGAGUUGGCUUAUUUGAAGUUAUGUACUUAAAUAAGCACUUGUUACAACUGAUUGAUAGAAAAAACUAAUGGAAUUUGUCUUUUCAAUUUUUAUGGAAAAAAGUAAGUGUGCUGUGUUUUGCUCGUAAAAAUGAAAAAAAGUAAUUCUGGGUUGAUGUUACUAAUGAAAAAAACAUAUCAACUUUGUCUCUUAUACUAUAAAAGUUCAUAUUUGGAUUCUAUAU